This is a non-coding RNA of Vicia faba (fava bean), 225 nucleotides long. The record is from the annotation of a GenBank genome assembly. Lineage: Eukaryota; Viridiplantae; Streptophyta; Magnoliopsida; Fabales; Fabaceae.
AUGAUUCUUGUUGAAUAUUCUAAAGAAAUGAUUGACGAAAUGUUGGUGUGUUUGGUAACUGCAUCAAACAGCGGCUUAAAUUACACUUUAGUCCCUUUUCUUGAGAAUGUAUGUUCAUUAUUUUUAAUGAUUAACCAAAAAAAUAAAUGUCAAAAACAGUGUAAAAGGUUUCCGAAGGCCUUAACAAAAGGGGUAACAAUCAGGAUCUGGAGAGGGAAUGGAUGA